AUGCCCCUACGUGUCAUCAUUGUCAUUGGAACUCAGACACCUCCGUUACCCAGAGAGGAACUGCAGCUGUCUCUGAUCAUGCCAGCAGGUGUCCUCUCCCAGGUGCAGCUGGUCCAGUCCGGCCCGGGAGCGGUGAAGCCUGGCGAGACCCUCACCCUGACCUGCGCUGUCUCGGGUUACUCCAUCACCAGUGGUUACGGUUGGCACUGGAUUCGGCAGCCUCCCGGAAAAGGGCUGGUGUGGCUUGGAGUGGGAUAUUACAGCAGUUCCACCUGGAAUACAAACUACGCCUCAUCCUUCCAGAGCCGAAUCACCAACUCCACUGACUCCUCCAAGAACCAGUUCUCCCUGCAGCUCCGCUCGCUGACAGCUGCAGACACCGGCACCUAUUACUGCGCCAGAGACAUAGUGACACAGAGCAAAGCAGGGACCAUACAAAAAGGGGAAGCGGAGCCUACAUAG
Terrapene triunguis (Three-toed box turtle) is the source of this 462-nucleotide non-coding RNA. Lineage: Eukaryota; Metazoa; Chordata; Testudines; Emydidae. The record is from the annotation of a RefSeq genome assembly.